Molecule: ribosomal RNA, 723 nt
Filed under: Salmonella enterica
Lineage: Bacteria; Pseudomonadati; Pseudomonadota; Gammaproteobacteria; Enterobacterales; Enterobacteriaceae
Description: partial 23S ribosomal RNA
Rfam family: Bacterial large subunit ribosomal RNA
Source: RNAcentral
GGGUUGUGAGGUUAAGCGACUAAGCGUACACGGUGGAUGCCCUGGCAGUCAGAGGCGAUGAAGGGCGUGCUAAUCUGCGAUAAGCGCCGGUAAGGUGAUAUGAACCGUUAUAACCGGCGAUACCCGAAUGGGGAAACCCAGUGUGAUUCGUCACACUAUCAUUACGUGAAUACAUAGCGUAAUGAAGCGAACCGGGGGAACUGAAACAUCUAAGUACCCCGAGGAAAAGAAAUCAACCGAGAUUCCCCCAGUAGCGGCGAGCGAACGGGGAGGAGCCCAGAGCCUGAAUCAGCAUGUGUGUUAGUGGAAGCGUCUGGAAAGGCGCGCGAUACAGGGUGACAGCCCCGUACACAAAAGCGCAUGUGUUGUGAGCUCGAUGAGUAGGGCGGGACACGUGGUAUCCUGUCUGAAUAUGGGGGGACCAUCCUCCAAGGCUAAAUACUCCUGACUGACCGAUAGUGAACCAGUACCGUGAGGGAAAGGCGAAAAGAACCCCGGCGAGGGGAGUGAAAAAGAACCUGAAACCGUGUACGUACAAGCAGUGGGAGCACCCUUUGGGGUGUGACUGCGUACCUUUUGUAUAAUGGGUCAGCGACUUAUAUUCUGUAGCAAGGUUAACCGAAUAGGGGAGCCGGAGGGAAACCGAGUCUUAAUUGGGCGUUAAGUUGCAGGGUAUAGACCCGAAACCCGGUGAUCUAGCCAUGGGCAGGUUGAAGGUUGGGU